GAAAGAAACAUCGAUUUCCUAAGUAGCGGCGAGCGAAAGGGAAAGAGGCCAAACCAGAGAUAGCAAUAUCUUUGGGGUUGCGGACUGCGUAAUUGAUUCAAUAUUUUUAGCAGAAGUGUAUGGGAAGACACACCAUAGUAGGUAAUAGUCCUGUAAGCGAAAAGGAUAUUGACAAGGCAGGAUCCAGAGUACCACCGGACACGAGGAACCCGGUGGGAAGCCGGGGGGACCACCCCCCAAGCCUAAAUACUACCUGAUGACCGAUAGUGAAAAGUACAGUGAUGGAAAGUUGAAAAGAACCCCGGAAGGGGAGUGAAAAAGAAUCUGAAACCCUAUGUUUACAAGCUGCUAAAGCACCAUAUGAGUGCGAUAGCGUACUUUUUGUAGAACGGUCCGGCGAGUGUAUGUUGCAAGCGAGGUUAAGGUGUUAAGCACUGAAGCCGAAGGGAGACCGAGUGUGAAUAGCGCGUACAGUUUGCAGUAUACGACCCGAAACCGGGUGACCUAACCAUGGACAGGUUGAAGUGGAAGUAAAAUUCCAUGGAGGACCGAACCCACGUCUGUUGAAAAAGGCGGGGAUGAGCUGUGGUUAGCGGUGAAAUUCCAAUCGAACUCGGAUAUAGCUGGUUCUCAUCGAAAUAGCUUUAGGGCUAGCCUCAGGAUAGUUUAGCGGAGGUAAAGCACUGAAUGGGCUAGGGGGCUUCACGGCUUACCGAACCCUAUCAAACUCUGAAUGCCGCAUAAAUGUUUCCUGGGAGUCAGACUGCGUGAGAUAAGUUUCGUAGUCAAAAGGGAAAGAGCCCAGACCUACAGCUAAGGUCCCUAAAUGAAUUUAAGUGGAAAAGGAUGUGCAGUUGCGUAGACAACUAGGACGUUGGCUUAGAAGCAGCCACUCAUUUAAAGAGUGCGUAAUAGCUCACUAGUCGAGUGAUUGUGCGCCGAAAAUGUAACGGGGCUAAAAUUCAUACCGAAGCUUAGGCUUUGCACACUUUGUGUGCGAGGGGUAGAUGAGCGUUGUGUAAGUCUGCGAAGCUACACCGAAAGGAGUAGUGGAGAUAUCACAAGUGAGAAUGCCGGAAUGAGUAGCGAGAAUUAUGUGAGAAUCAUAAUGGUCGAAAAUCUAAGGUUUCUUGAGGAAGGUUCGUCCGCUCAAGGUAAGCCGGGAGCUAAGGCGAGGCCGAGAGGCGUAGUCGAUGCACAUACGGUAAAGAUUCCGUAGCCACCGAAGUCGUUAAAUACAGGGACACAGGAACAUAGCCUAACCCCACCGUUGGUUGAGUGGGGCGUAAGGGAGCGAAAAAUAGUAGCGAAGUAGGUGAUUGUACACUGGCGAGAAAAGCUGUAUGUAUUGAUAAGGUGCCCGUACCGCAAACCGACACAGGUAGAUGAGGAGAGAAUCCUAAGACCAGCGGGAGAAGUGUUGUUAAGGAACUCGGCAAAAUGACCCCGUAACUUCGGGAUAAGGGGAGCCUACGCGAGUAGGCCGCAGAGAAUAGUCUCAAGCGACUGUUUAGCAAAAACACAGGUCUAUGCUAAAUCGAAAGAUGAUGUAUAUGGGCUGACGCCUGCCCGGUGCUGGAAGGUUAAGGGGAAGUGUUAGAGCAAUCGAAGCACUGAACUUAAGCCCCAGUAAACGGCGGCCGUAACUAUAACGGUCCUAAGGUAGCGAAAUUCCUUGUCAGGUAAGUUCUGACCCGCACGAAUGGCGUAACGACUUGAGAGCUGUCUCAACAACAUACCCGGCGAAAUUGAAGUACUGGUAAAGAUGCCAGUUACCCGUGAUAAGACGGAAAGACCCCAUGGAGCUUUACUGUAACUUGAUAUUGAAUUUUUGUAUUACAUGUACAGGAUAGGUGGGAGACAGAGAACUAAUGCCGCCAGGUGUUAGGGAGUCGAUGUUGGGAUACCACUCUUGUAAUAUGAAGGUUCUAACCUGCACCCGUGAAUCCGGGUGGGGGACACUGUCAGGUGGACAGUUUGACUGGGGCGGUCGCCUCCUAAAAGGUAACGGAGGCGUUCAAAGGUUGGUUCAGCACGGACGGAAAUCGUGCAACGAGUGCAAACGCAUAAACCAGCCUAACUGCGAGACCGACAAGUCGAGCAGUAACGAAAGUUGGAGUUAGUGAUCCGGCGGUAUGAGAGUGGAAUUGCCGUCGCUCAACGGAUAAAAGCUA
RNAcentral lists this ribosomal RNA (2174 nucleotides) under human gut metagenome. RNAcentral describes it as "bacterial LSU rRNA". It matches the Rfam family "Bacterial large subunit ribosomal RNA", at positions 216 to 2465 of the family's 2925-position model. The record is from RNAcentral.